CGGACGGCUGAGUAACGCGUGGGAACAUGCCCCAAAGUGAGGGAUAAGCACCGGAAACGGUGUCUAAUACCGCUUAUGGUCUUCGGAUUAAAGGAUUUAUCCGCUUUGGGAGUGGCCUGCGUACGAUUAGAUAGUUGGUGAGGUAAAGGCUCACCAAGUCGACGAUCGUUAACUGGUCUGAGAGGAUGAUCAGUCAGACUGGAACUGAGACACGGUCCAGACUCCUACGGGAGGCAGCAGUGAGGAACCUUCCACAAUGGGCGAAAGCCUGAUGGAGCAACGCCGCGUGAAGGAUGAAGGCCCUAGGGUCGUAAACUUCUUUUAUGAGUGAAGAAUAUGACGGUAACUCAUGAAUAAGCACCGGCUAACUACGUGCCAGCAGCCGCGGUCAUACGUAGGGUGCAAGCAUUAUCCGGAGUGACUGGGCGUAAAGAGUUGCGUAGGCGGUUAGUAAAGCGAAUAGUGAAACCUGGUGGCUCAACCAUUCAGACUAUUAUUCGAACUCACUAACUCGAGAAUGGUAGAGGUAAUUGGAAUUUCUUGUGUAGGAGUGAAAUCCGUAGAUAUAAGAAGGAACACCAAUGGCGUAGGCAGAUUACUGGACCAUUUCUGACGCUAAGGCACGAGAGCGUGGGGAGCGAACCGGAUUAGAUACCCGGGUAGUCCACGCCGUAAACGAUGGAUACUAGCUGUUGGAGGUAUCGACCCCUUCAGUAGCGAAGCUAACGCGUUAAGUAUCCCGCCUGUGGAGUACGGUCGCAAGACUAAAACAUAAAGGAAUUGACGGGGACCCGCACAAGCGGUGGAUCAUGUUCUUUAAUUCGAUGAUAAACGAAGAACCUUACCAGGGUUUGACAUCCCGAGAAUUAACCCGAAAGGGUUGAGUGCUUUAUUGAACUCGGUGACAGAUGUUGCAUGGCCGUCGUCAGCUCGUGUCGUGAGAUGUUUGGUUAAGUCCAUCAACGAGCGCAACCCUUGUGAAUAGUUGUAUUUUUCUAUUCAGACUGCCCCGGUAACGGGGAGGAAGGAGGGGAUGAUGUCAGGUCAGUAUUACUCUUACAUCCUGGGCUAGAAACGUGAUACAAUGGCAAGUACAAUGCGCAGCGAAGCCGCGAGGUGAAGCAAAUCGCAUCAAAGCUUGUCCCAGUUCGGAUAAGAGGCUGAAACU
RNAcentral lists this ribosomal RNA (1168 nucleotides) under uncultured bacterium. Its description in RNAcentral is "bacterial SSU rRNA". It matches the Rfam family "Bacterial small subunit ribosomal RNA", at positions 99 to 1312 of the family's 1533-position model. The record is from RNAcentral.